GAAGUGCGUUCUAUCGCUGUGAUGGGAGACCAUUAGAGAGGAAAGUCCGGACAACGCAGAGCAUCACGCCACUUAAUCGGUGGACCAGGUGGAGUAAUCCAUUUGGAUAGAAAGGGUCACAGAAAAUAACCGCCUUGUAUCGUUCGCGAUAUUCGGUAAGGGUGAAAAUGUGUGGUAAGAGCACACGGUAGAUUAAAGCAAUUUAAUCUAUGGAUAAACCUCGUGAGUUGAAAUGCCAUGUAUAUCCAUUGUCCUGGCGACAGGCCCGAUGGCUCAAUCGGUAUGCAAAUAGAUGGAAGGGUAGGCAGCUAAGAUCGGCCAGGUGACUGGCCGGCCAGAUAAAUGAUAGAAAUCCGCAAAAACGGGUACAGAAUCCGGCUUACAGCACUUUUUUC
RNAcentral lists this RNase P RNA (395 nucleotides) under Bacteroidota bacterium. Its description in RNAcentral is "RNase P RNA component class A". It matches the Rfam family "Bacterial RNase P class A". From Rfam's summary of the family: Ribonuclease P (RNase P) is a ubiquitous endoribonuclease, found in archaea, bacteria and eukarya as well as chloroplasts and mitochondria. Lineage: Bacteria; Pseudomonadati; Bacteroidota. The record is from RNAcentral.